GACGAACGCUGGCGGCGUGCUUAACACAUGCAAGUCGAACGGUAAGGCCCUUCGGGGUACACGAGUGGCGAACGGGUGAGUAACACGUGGGUGAUCUGCCCUGCACUUCGGGAUAAGCCUGGGAAACUGGGUCUAAUACCGGAUAGGACUCCGGACUGCAUGGUCUGGGGUGGAAAGCUUUUGCGGGGUGGGAUGGGCCCGCGGCCUAUCAGCUUGUUGGUGGGGUGAUGGCCUACCAAGGCGACGACGGGUAGCCGGCCUGAGAGGGUGACCGGCCACACGGGGACUGAGAUACGGCCCAGACCCCUACGGGAGGCAGCAGUGGGGAAUAUUGCACAAUGGGCGCAAGCCUGAUGCAGCGACGCCGCGUGAGGGAUGACGGCCUUCGGGUUGUAAACCUCUUUCAGCAUCGACGAAGCGAAAGUGACGGUAGGUGCAGAAGAAGGACCGGCCAACUACGUGCCAGCCGCCGCCGUAA
This 478-nucleotide ribosomal RNA is filed under the name uncultured bacterium. RNAcentral describes it as "partial 16S ribosomal RNA". It matches the Rfam family "Bacterial small subunit ribosomal RNA", at positions 28 to 523 of the family's 1533-position model. The record is from RNAcentral.